AUUUGUCUGGGCUGGGGACGCCUGGCCAUGCAGAUGGGCUUGGUCGGCUCCCUCCUCAGAGCCUGGUCCAUGCGGCUGUCCCUCCCUUGCUCUUGCUGCAUUUGUGAAAGUGUCUGGUUUAAGUGCUAUUUUGUGCAUGGUGUGUGUUACAAUGUGACUUAGCCCAGGAAGACGAGCCCCAGUGUCCCAUAAGCCCCUGCGUCCACUGCCCCCUGUUCCUAAUCAGAUGUUCGCUGAGUGAAUAAUGAGGACAGAGGCUUGGGGUGCUGUGUAUGCCACAGCCUGUCCCAGGAGCUCCACCCAUGUCCGCAGCUCCCCCUUCUCCACAGUCAUGUCAGGACCCAGGCCCGUGGUGCUGAGCGGGCCCUCGGGGGCAGGGAAGAGCACACUGCUGAAGAAGCUGCUCCAGGAGCACGGCAGCAUCUUUGGCUUCAGUGUGUCCCAUACCACGAGGGACCCACGGCCUGGAGAGGAGAACGGCAAAGAUUACUACUUUGUGACCAGGGAGGUGAUGCAGCGGGACAUUAUAGCCGGUGACUUCAUUGAGCAUGCUGAGUUCUCAGGGAACCUGUACGGAACAAGCAAGGCGGCUGUGCAGGCAGUGCAGGCCAUGAACCGCAUCUGCGUGCUGGAUGUGGACCUGCAGGGUGUGCGCAACAUCAAGAAGACCGACUUGCGGCCCAUCUACAUCUCCGUGCAGCCGCCCUCGCUGGAUGUCCUGGAGCAGCGGCUGCGGCAACGCAACACCGAGACAGAGGAGAGCCUGGCGAAGCGGCUGGCUGCCGCCCGGGCCGACAUGGACAGCACCUCCCCCCCCAGGCAAAGAGCCUGGCCUGUUUGACCUGCUUAUCAUCAAUGACAACCUGGACAAGGCGUAUGCAGCGCUGAAGGAGGCGCUCUCUGAGGAAAUCAGGAAAGCUCAAGGGACCAGCCACGCCUGAGGAGUCCUGCUUUCCAUUCCACGGGUGCCUCCCGGUCUCGAAGCAUGGGGGGGUCCAGUCAGGGCCCCCAGGAGUCAUGCAGGACCAGCGGCAGGUGUCCACUGACUGGGUUUGUGGAGCCUCUCCCUUGCUGGCUGCACAGUGGUUCUGCGUCUUCAACUGGCGUCUGGGGCGAGAGGGGUGCUGCCCAUGUCCCAUGUCCCGUGCAGUUGGAGGGCCCUGGGGCACCCCCUAUCUGCCCUCCCUGGGCUGUCCCCUGUCCCUAUUCCUGUCCCUCCCGCUGGAGCUGGGGCUGACAUAAUAAAGUAACUGUUAGGCUGGA
Galeopterus variegatus (Sunda flying lemur) is the source of this 1263-nucleotide RNA transcript. It is a transcript of the gene named guanylate kinase 1, with no coding region annotated. Lineage: Eukaryota; Metazoa; Chordata; Mammalia; Dermoptera; Cynocephalidae. The transcript has 7 exons. The record is from RefSeq and is a predicted model, not a curated record.